RNAcentral lists this long non-coding RNA (1844 nucleotides) under Struthio camelus australis. RNAcentral's name for it is "lncRNA (ENSSCUG00000018168.1)". The record is from RNAcentral. Lineage: Eukaryota; Metazoa; Chordata; Aves; Struthioniformes; Struthionidae.
CUGCCUUACGCUGGCCAGCAAUAUGGACCAUCGGUGGUGGGCAGGUUUCGUUUCUUGGCUGGAUGGAUGCUGGUGAUAGACCCUAUUCUAGGGGAGAGUAACUACCUCUGCUUGCUGCCAGGUUUUCCUGAAGCCGGGGGUCAUCUCCAGGCUGGAGAAGCAGCGCAACAAGCUGAUAUCCCAGAAAAUGAUCCUCCUUCAGGCGGCUUGCAAGGGCUUCCUCAGCCGGCAGAAAUUCAAGAGGUUGAAGGUACCUUGGUCAUGAAUACCCUGUGUACACCACAGCAUGGGGUUUGGCCACUGCAGAGGGUUCAGAGCUGCUGUGACAUGGCCAAGUGCCCCUCAUGGGACUGGGUACAGCCCCUCUGGGCUGAGCGCGCUGCUCCUUUGAACAGUAGUGCAGAGCCCCAUGCACCACCGGGAGUGGCCUGCUGGUGGCUGCGGCGUGUCGUGCUGCCUGUCCCCUCCUAAGCUGAGCUGCUCCGUCUGCUUGCUGCGGUCCAGCACAUCCCUUCCCCACCCGGUGCUGGCUGAGCGGCCCAGCCCGGCCCUUCCUGGCAGCAGACCCAGGUCGUGGCUGGACGGGUGCCACUGCAGGCCAUGUCUCCUUGCAGAUUCAGCACCUCGCCAUUCGGUGCAUCCAGAAGAACCUGGUGGUCUUCCAGGCUGUGAGGCACUGGCCCUGGUGGCAGCUGAUGAGCCGUGUGCGGCCCUUACUCAGCAUCAAUGUUGCAGAAGAUCAGCUCCGUGCCAAAGAAGAGCUGGCAGCACUAAGAAGAAAGCUGGAAAAAUCAGAGCAGUCAUGCAACGAGCUCAGGCAGAACUCAGAAAAGCUGGAAAGUAAGGUAAAGCCUGAGAAAUGUCUCUGUGCACACUCGUGGAUCCUCACGUGAGUCCCAUUAGAAAUUGAGCUGCAUCAUGGUAAUUAUGGACAGCAAUACAAGGAGUCGAAUGGGAAUGUCGCCUUGUCACAUGCUGGGUGCAAGAAGGACUGGGCUAAGGCCGUUUGCACCCAUGUCACUGCCUUGCAAUCUGUAUAGAGCAAAUGCUGCAGUUUGGGUUUUCUAGCACCGGGUUUCUACCAGUGCCUCCCCAGCCUUGACUGGUGUCAGACCAGCGAGGCUGGGGAGCUGUUGCUGUGCUAGUAUUUGCACAUGCCUCCACACUCCUUGAAGAGCUGGGUUUUUUUGUUUUUAAUUGCCCAAGAAGGUUACCUAGUGAUUAAUUUUAACAGGUCACAGGCAUGAAAUGUUCCGCUUUGUCUCUGUGUGGGAAGCCAGCAGCUCUUUACUGCUAUCUGCCUGGAGAUCUGAGCUGAGAGGGCUGUUUCUCGGGGAGCAAUCAUUGUUUGCUGCUUGCUGCUGUUUAAGUUGCUCAGCAGUUGUUUCUUUUUAAGGCCUUUUAUGUCAAGGUCCUGCAGCCAGUGCCUGAUGAGAGAUCUCGCGCCUGCUGUACUGUGUGAUUGUGCUCGGAGGAAGCAGUGAUUAGCAAAGGGGUGGGAAAGAGGGAGCUGCAGGAGUCUGAGUUGCCGGCUAAAUCAGUGCAGCUAGAGGUUGAUUCUGCAGGACCCAGGUGGGCUGCGAGGCCUGACCCCCCGGGGCCAGCAUCCCUGCACGGCACCCGAUGGGGCCCUGGCUUGCCAGAGCAGAGGACCACGGCAAGCGAGUUGGCGUCUCCAGAGAGAACCUCAUCUCUCGUCUCCACAAAUCUCCUCUGGCUUUGACACUCCAUGCAUCUGCCCUUGUUCCCCGGCCCUGGUCCCCUCGGCUGUCCCCGGUCCCGGCCCCGUGCUCCUGGCCGCGUCCCCGGGCNNNNNNNNNNNNNNNNNNNNNNNNNNNNNNNNN